This 253-nucleotide ribosomal RNA is filed under the name uncultured bacterium. RNAcentral's name for it is "partial 16S ribosomal RNA". It matches the Rfam family "Bacterial small subunit ribosomal RNA", at positions 524 to 776 of the family's 1533-position model. The record is from RNAcentral.
UACGUAGGGUGCAAGCGUUAAUCGGAAUACUGGGCGUAAAGCGUGCGCAGGCGGUUUUGUAAGUCUGUCGUGAAAGCCCCGGGCUCAACCUGGGAAUUGCGAUGGAGACUGCAAGGCUUGAAUCUGGCAGAGGGGGGGUAGAAUUCCACGUGUAGCAGUGAAAUGCGUAGAGAUGUGGAGGAACACCGAUGGCGAAGGCAGCCCCCUGGGUCAAGAUUGACGCUCAUGCACGAAAGCGUGGGGAGCAAACAGG